This is a non-coding RNA of Rattus norvegicus (Norway rat), 940 nucleotides long. The record is from RefSeq and is a predicted model, not a curated record. Lineage: Eukaryota; Metazoa; Chordata; Mammalia; Rodentia; Muridae.
UGUUCUGAACCUCAUUAUGAUGUAGACCUCACUGGCCUUGAAUGUACAGUGACCUUUCUCCUUGAAUGCUGGGAUUACCUGUGUGUUCUCAGCCUAGCUUCUGUGCAGUUCUCACCCAAAGUGCCAGUGGAAAUCUACAAACGCACCAGAAAGUUGGUGUGUGUUUUGGGGUUGUGUGUAAGAGACAGAGAUAGAUCUAAAGAUAGACAGACAGACAGACAAAGAUUGCAGGCGGAGUCUUCAGCUUUUAUCAAGAGGUCUACAAUGCUCAGAAGCUUGGAGACCUAGCCCCUUUGUGCACGGUGACAGUGAGUGAGUGGGUCGUGUUUCAGUUGUGAACAGACAACACCCAUUUCUUCAACAGACACCUGACUGUUAGAGCUCUCACUGGCAGGCAAACAGUAACCUCUGUUACGGGGAAGGGAGAAGCCGGGAGAAGAGCUAGAAAGACACAAGACAAAGGCUGGACGAUGAUGCCAGCCCUCAAGUUGACAACACAUUGAAUCCUUCCAUAGAGAGCUUCCUUCAACCCCUAAAAGGGAAACAGUUCACCAGACUGGAAACAGACGUACGAUCUCUGAACACAUUUUCAAUGAUAUGGAAAGAAGUCCAGAUGACUCUGCUGGGGGACAGACACUACUCAGAGAAUUGAGCAACUACCUCUCUCAUUGAAGGUUAUCCAUAUCUGUUGACUGACAGCCACCUCUGGAUGAAUGACCUUAGAGAUGGCCAGAAGAAUUAACCAGCUGAGCCCUGCCAAGGCGGCCUAACCUACCUACCUGGGAGUUAAAGGUUUGCAGCUGUGCGUGAUGGAGCUUCAUAGCUCUUUGUUGUGGAGAAUUACUAUGGCAAUGGGUAAUGGCUAACCAGGAGAUUGUACUCAUUAGUGGUACUCAUAACAAGUAUCAUUGCAAUAAAAAAGGUACUUAUUAUUUUCAAA